This 252-nucleotide ribosomal RNA is filed under the name Orbilia oligospora. RNAcentral's name for it is "5.8S ribosomal RNA". The stretch from base 4 to 157 matches the Rfam family "5.8S ribosomal RNA". From Rfam's summary of the family: 5.8S ribosomal RNA (5.8S rRNA) is a component of the large subunit of the eukaryotic ribosome. The record is from RNAcentral. Lineage: Eukaryota; Fungi; Ascomycota; Orbiliomycetes; Orbiliales; Orbiliaceae.
CAAAACUUUCAACAACGGAUCUCUUGGUUCCCGCAUCGAUGAAGAACGCAGCGAAACGCGAUAGUUAAUGUGAAUUGCAGAAUUCAGUGAAUCAUCGAGUCUUUGAACGCACAUUGCGCCCAUUGGUAUUCCUUUGGGCAUGUCUGUUUGAGCGUCAUUACAACCCUCAGCUACCCGCUGGUUUUGAACCCGAACGGUACCCCCCUUUAACCGGGGGAACCGAGCCGGUUUUAAAGUUGUAAGCUCUGCUGG